This 594-nucleotide ribosomal RNA is filed under the name uncultured Dyella sp. Its description in RNAcentral is "bacterial SSU rRNA". It matches the Rfam family "Bacterial small subunit ribosomal RNA", at positions 329 to 915 of the family's 1533-position model. Lineage: Bacteria; Pseudomonadati; Pseudomonadota; Gammaproteobacteria; Lysobacterales; Rhodanobacteraceae. The record is from RNAcentral.
CAGGUCACUCCUACGGGAGGCAGCAGUGGGGAAUAUUGGACAAUGGGCGCAAGCCUGAUCCAGCAAUGCCGCGUGUGUGAAGAAGGCCUUCGGGUUGUAAAGCACUUUUAUCAGGAGCGAAAUACUACUGGCUAAUAACCGGUGGGGCUGACGGUACCUGAGGAAUAAGCACCGGCUAACUUCGUGCCAGCAGCCGCGGUAAUACGAAGGGUGCAAGCGUUAAUCGGAAUUACUGGGCGUAAAGCGUGCGUAGGCGGUGAGUUAAGUCUGUUGUGAAAUCCCCGGGCUCAACCUGGGAAUGGCAAUGGAUACUGGCUCGCUAGAGUGUGAUAGAGGAUGGUGGAAUUCCCGGUGUAGCGGUGAAAUGCGUAGAGAUCGGGAGGAACAUCAGUGGCGAAGGCGGCCAUCUGGAUCAACACUGACGCUGAGGCACGAAAGCGUGGGGAGCAAACAGGAUUAGAUACCCUGGUAGUCCACGCCCUAAACGAUGCGAACUGGAUGUUGGUCUCAACUCGGAGAUCAGUGUCGAAGCUAACGCGUUAAGUUCGCCGCCUGGGGAGUACGGUCGCAAGACUGAAACUCAAAGGAAUGACG